GAUGAACGCUGGCGGCGUGCCUAAUACAUGCAAGUCGAACGAGUUCUCGUUGAUGAUCGGUGCUUGCACCGAGAUUUAACAUGGAACGAGUGGCGGACGGGUGAGUAACACGUGGGUAACCUGCCCUUAAGUGGGGGAUAACAUUUGGAAACAGAUGCUAAUACCGCAUAGAUCCAAGAACCGCAUGGUUCUUGGCUGAAAGAUGGCGUAAGCUAUCGCUUUUGGAUGGACCCGCGGCGUAUUAGCUAGUUGGUGAGGUAAUGGCUCACCAAGGCGAUGAUACGUAGCCGAACUGAGAGGUUGAUCGGCCACAUUGGGACUGAGACACGGCCCAAACUCCUACGGGAGGCAGCAGUAGGGAAUCUUCCACAAUGGACGCAAGUCUGAUGGAGCAACGCCGCGUGAGUGAAGAAGGCUUUCGGGUCGUAAAACUCUGUUGUUGGAGAAGAAUGGUCGGCAGAGUAACUGUGUCGGCGUGACGGUAUCCAACCAGAAAGCCACGGCUAAUAC
Molecule: ribosomal RNA, 510 nt
Filed under: Lacticaseibacillus paracasei
Lineage: Bacteria; Bacillati; Bacillota; Bacilli; Lactobacillales; Lactobacillaceae
Description: bacterial SSU rRNA
Rfam family: Bacterial small subunit ribosomal RNA
Source: RNAcentral